This 207-nucleotide small nuclear RNA is filed under the name Rhodnius prolixus. Its description in RNAcentral is "U4 spliceosomal RNA". The stretch from base 1 to 140 matches the Rfam family "U4 spliceosomal RNA". From Rfam's summary of the family: U4 small nuclear RNA (U4 snRNA) is a component of the major U2-dependent spliceosome. The structure of U4 snRNA from yeast and human has been reported. Lineage: Eukaryota; Metazoa; Arthropoda; Insecta; Hemiptera; Reduviidae. The record is from RNAcentral.
GUACAUGCGCAGUUGGCAAUAUCGUAACCAAUGAAGCAGGUCUCCUGAGGUGCGAUUAUUGCUAGUUGAAAACUUUUAGGGCGCCACGGUUGCCUAGCGGUUAUAGGCUAGACUCGCAAAGCUAAGAUGUAUUGCGGUACUAGGCUAUAUUCCCAGUCUAUACCUUUAAUGGGUUAAUAUGAGAAAUUUUGCAGUAAAGUAUGUUUG